This 243-nucleotide long non-coding RNA is filed under the name Prunus persica (peach). RNAcentral's name for it is "long non-coding RNA (PPER_LNC006257)". The record is from RNAcentral. Lineage: Eukaryota; Viridiplantae; Streptophyta; Magnoliopsida; Rosales; Rosaceae.
GAGCCCUUCCCAUCCAAGAACAUGAGGCUUCAGUUCAUCCAGAAGACCCUGCACCAGUUCAGGCCCCCUAGAACCAGCCAGAACCUCCACCUAUUCCACGACCAACGGUCUCACGCGAUCAGCCCUUGGAACUUCUGCCUGACCAACCAGUUGUGUUGCCUUACAGACCUAGAAGGAUGGACCCUAAUCCAUUCUCUUCACUAGCUAGAGGUAGGAGAGGUAGAAGGGGAAUCAACCCUUUCG